ACGCGUACCCAUCCCGAACACGACCGUUAAGCCCUCCAGCGCCGAUGGUACUUGGACCGCAGGGUCCUGGGAGAGUAGGACGUCGCCAAGC
RNAcentral lists this ribosomal RNA (91 nucleotides) under Paenibacillus sp. BC26. The record is from RNAcentral. Lineage: Bacteria; Bacillati; Bacillota; Bacilli; Caryophanales; Paenibacillaceae.